ACACCGAAACUCAUACAAAAUCUAAAAAUCAAAAUAGGUUUGAUCCACUUUUCAAUUCCCACGGAUAAAGAAUUACUAAGAAAGCGCGGCGGUAUAGAGGGCUUCACAAUCCUUUCUCUCACCGGCACCGCCUUUAAUUCAUUCAUAUAUACCACCGAUUUUCCCCUAAUUUUUUUUGUUGUUGCUUUGUUCAAUGGCUACCGCUGAAAUUCCACAAGAUGGAUUGAAGAAACUGGAGUAUCUUUCACUUGUAUCUAAGGUAUGCACUGAGUUAGAAUCUCACACCGGCACCGGCGAUAAGGUUCUCGCCGAGUUCAUCACCGAGUUAGGUCAUUCUUCUAACUCGGUUGAGGAAUUCGACGCUAUACUCAAAGAAAACGGUGCUGAGAUGCCGGAUUACUUUGUUCGAACUCUUCUCACCAUUAUCCACGCUAUUCUUCCUCCUAAUCCUAAAAAAGAGAAAGAGAAUCAGAACGUGAAGAGUUCCACCUCCAAUACUAAGUUCAAGGCUUUGGCAAUUUCAGAUGAUAGGGAUCGUGCUAAGGAGCUUCGAGAAGAGAUCGAAAUCGAAGCUAGAGAGAAACAAAAACAAAUGGAACCACCAAUGGACAGGUAUGAAGAUGAUGGUGGUUACAGAGAUAGAGAUAGGGAUAGAAGAGAUAGACGCAGAGAUAGGUAUGAAGAAGAUGAUAGAAGAGAUCAUAGAAGAGGAAAUGAUAGAGACAGAGAUAGACGCGAUAAAAGGGGGGAUGAUAGAGGCAGAGAUAGGGAUCGAUAUGAGAGGCGGAGGAGAGAUGAAUAUGAAGAUGGAAGGGAGGAGACUGAUGGUAAUCAGAAAGGGAGGAGAGAAAGAGAUUCGAAGCGUGGUGGUGGUGGUUCAGGUGAGCCCGAGUUGUAUAUGGUUUAUAAAGGAAGAAUUUCUAGGGUGAUGGAUACUGGGUGUUUUGUUCAGCUGGAUGAUUUUAGAGGAAAGGAGGGUUUGGUUCAUGUUUCUCAGAUGGCUACUAGGAAGAUUGUUAAUGCUAAAGAGGUUGUUAAAAGGGAUCAACAGGUUUAUGUGAAGGUGAUUUCUGUUUCUGGUUCCAAGUUGAGUCUUUCCAUGAGGGAUGUUGAUCAACAUACUGGGAAGGAUCUUCUUCCGUUGAAGAAGAGCUCGGAGGAGGAGGAUUCAUUUCGGACGAAUCCGCAGGACUCGAAGGAUGGACCAGUGGUUAGGACAGGGCUUUCUGGGAUCAGGAUUGUAGAGGAGGAUGACACUGUUUCUUCGCGCAGGCCGUUGAAGAGAAUGAGUUCUCCCGAGAGAUGGGAAGCACAACAAUUGAUUGCUUCGGGGGUUUUGAGUGUUUCGGAGUAUCCGACUUAUGAUGAUGAGGAAGAUGGAGUGAUGUACCAAGAAGAAGGUGCUGAGGAAGAGCUUGAGAUUGAGAUGAAUGAGGAUGAACCCGCCUUCUUGCAAGGGCAGAGCAGAUACUCAAUGGAUAUGUCUCCUGUUAAGAUCUUCAAGAAUCCAGAAGGUUCUCUGGGUCGUGCUGCUGCGCUCCAGUCUGCACUUAUAAAGGAGCGAAGAGAAGUAAGAGAACAGCAGCAGCGUACCAUGCUUGAUUCAAUUCCAAAGGAUCUCAAUCGUCCUUGGGAAGACCCUAUGCCAGAGUCAGGUGAAAGGCAUCUUGCCCAGGAGUUGAGGGGUGUUGGCUUAUCGGCCUAUGAUAUGCCAGAAUGGAAGAAAGAGGCCUAUGGGAAAACCAUUACUUUUGGGCAAAGGUCAAAGCUUUCUCUUCAGGAACAGAGGCAGAGUUUGCCAAUUUACAAGCUAAAAAAAGAAUUGGUUCAGGCUGUCCAUGAUAAUCAGGUAUUGGUUGUGAUUGGUGAAACCGGUUCGGGUAAGACUACUCAGGUCACACAGUAUCUUGCUGAAGUGGGUUACACCACCAGAGGUAAAAUUGGAUGUACUCAACCCCGUAGGGUGGCUGCAAUGUCAGUUGCAAAGAGAGUUGCAGAAGAGUUUGGGUGUAGAUUAGGAGAGGAAGUUGGUUAUGCCAUUCGGUUUGAGGAUUGCACUGGACCUGAUACCGUAAUCAAGUACAUGACUGAUGGUAUGCUUCUUAGGGAAAUAUUGGUUGAUGAGAGUCUGUCACAGUAUUCUGUUAUAAUGCUUGAUGAAGCCCAUGAGAGAACAAUUUAUACGGAUGUUCUUUUCGGACUGCUGAAGCAGCUGGUGAAGCGUAGACCUGAGUUGCGAUUGAUUGUCACAUCUGCUACUCUUGAUGCUGAAAAAUUUUCAGGAUAUUUCUUUAACUGUAACAUCUUCACCAUUCCUGGGAGAACUUUUCCUGUGGAGAUACUUUAUGCUAAACAGCCAGAAAGCGAUUACUUGGAUGCAUCUUUGAUCACUGUCCUACAGAUCCACUUGACAGAACCUGAAGGAGACAUUCUUCUCUUCUUAACUGGUCAAGAGGAGAUUGAUUUUGCUUGCCAGUCUCUCCAUGAGAGAAUGAAGGGAUUAGGUAAGAAUGUCCCUGAGCUGAUCAUUUUACCUGUUUAUAGUGCCCUUCCUAGUGAAAUGCAAUCUAGGAUAUUUGAUCCUGCUCCUCCUGGGAAAAGGAAAGUGGUUGUGGCUACAAACAUUGCUGAGGCUUCUUUGACAAUCGAUGGGAUAUUUUAUGUUAUUGAUCCGGGGUUUGCUAAGCAAAAUGUUUAUAACCCAAAGCAAGGUCUUGAUUCCUUGGUGAUUACUCCGAUAUCACAAGCGUCUGCCAAACAAAGAGCUGGGCGUGCAGGGCGUACUGGACCUGGAAAGUGUUAUCGUCUCUAUACUGAGAGUGCAUAUAGGAAUGAGAUGUCCCCUACUGCAAUUCCAGAGAUUCAGAGGAUAAAUCUGGGCAUGACUACUCUUAGCAUGAAAGCUAUGGGCAUAAAUGAUCUUCUGUCAUUUGAUUUUUUGGAUCCACCAUCACCCCAAGCACUUAUUUCCGCCAUGGAGCAGCUUUACAGUCUUGGAGCAUUGGAUGACGAGGGUCUUCUAACCAAAUUGGGUAGGAAAAUGGCUGAAUUUCCGAUGGAUCCGCCACUGUCCAAGAUGCUGCUUGCCAGUGUAGACCUUGGAUGCAGUGAUGAGAUUUUGACCAUAAUUGCCAUGAUCCAGACUGGCAAUAUUUUUUACAGGCCCAGGGAGAAACAAGCCCAAGCAGAUCAGAAGAAGGCUAGGUUUUUCCAGGCAGAGGGUGACCAUCUUACACUACUUGCUGUUUAUGAAUCCUGGAAAAGUAAAAACUUUUCUGGACCCUGGUGUUUUGAGAACUUUGUUCAAUCUCGAUCGUUGAGAAGAGCCCAGGAUGUUAGGAAACAACUUCUCUCCAUCAUGGAUAAGUACAAAUUGGAUAUCGUGAGUGCUGGAAAAAACUUCUCCAAGAUCAGGAAGGCUAUCACUGCAGGGUUCUUUUUUCAUGCAGCUAGAAAGGACCCCCAGGAAGGUUACAGAACCCUUGUUGAGAAUCAGCCUGUAUAUAUUCAUCCAAGUUCGGCUUUGUUCCAGAGGCAGCCAGACUGGGUCAUAUACCACGAGCUUGUAAUGACAACUAAGGAAUAUAUGCGCGAGGUAACAGUCAUAGACCCCAAAUGGCUUGUUGAAUUGGCUCCAAGAUUCUUCAAAGUGGCAGAUCCUACAAAGAUGAGUAAACGGAAGCGUCAAGAACGUGUUGAACCACUCUAUGAUAGAUACCACGAGCCAAAUUCAUGGCGUUUGAGUAAACGUCGUGCUUGAUAUGCUUUCUCAGUUUCUCUUAAUGCAAGGUCCUGGAUACAUUUUAUGUUGAAUUUAGUUUUAAAUAUGUUGGCAGCACAGAGGCUAGUCCAAGUAACUCUCUAGUACCUUUGUAUCCGUUGGAUUAUUCAUUGCCAUCUCUUGAUGAGGUUUGUUAUGACUUAUGAUUAUCUGUUCUCGAAUUUUCUGGUCAAUCUUUGUGCAUUCAAAACGCUAACCAGUCCUUGUUGAACUUAUACAACAUACUGCCUAAACGUGAACUGCUCUGACUUGUGAAAUACUCACAAAUAUAUGCACUAGCCUUUCUAUUCUGGGCCGGGUGAAGAUGCCAUUAAAGAAGUGCCUGGCGAAAUUUGAUGCUUCAGAAAAUAACACAGAAGAAAGUUGUUCUGAAAAAAGUCAAACUACACAACAAUCAUGUACUAGGAAUGGGCAAACUCAGGUCAACCAACCCGAUGCAAUCGGGUCCAACCGGUUCGGGUUAAUACGGGUCACGGGUUGUAUGUGUGCACUUUUCAGGUUAUGAUGGGUUUAUUCGGUUCGGUUCGGGUGGACAGUUUGAACCCUUAUGUACCCUAACCCGAACCGAAUCAUUAUUACUAUUAAUUUUAUUUAUUUAUUUAUUAUUAAUUGUUUGUGUGAA
RNA transcript from Medicago truncatula (barrel medic), 4403 nucleotides. It is a transcript of the gene named probable pre-mRNA-splicing factor ATP-dependent RNA helicase DEAH5, with no coding region annotated. Lineage: Eukaryota; Viridiplantae; Streptophyta; Magnoliopsida; Fabales; Fabaceae. The transcript has 4 exons. The record is from RefSeq and is a predicted model, not a curated record.